Molecule: unclassified non-coding RNA, 332 nt
Filed under: Hevea brasiliensis (rubber tree)
Lineage: Eukaryota; Viridiplantae; Streptophyta; Magnoliopsida; Malpighiales; Euphorbiaceae
Source: RNAcentral
UCUUCAUCUCUCAUUCUCUCACUUCUCCCUCUCUCUUUCUCUCUUUUUCCGGUGAGCCACCAUCGCCAGUGACACCCUCUAGCAUGGCAUAGCUCCAACGACCCUCCAGGCUGGCUCAAGCGGUGGCCAAAACCACCAAAAGUGGUGGCAAACGAGGGAGAAGAGAGAGAAACUCAUGAGUAGGGGCAGCAGUUUUUCAGCGCGAUUCCGGCUUCAUCCUACUUCCGAUCAAGGCCAUUUCAGGUGGUGUUGGAAAGCUUAUUUCGAGAGCUUUCUUUUGAUACAAAUUUUGCAGCAAAUGGAGGUCGAAUGAGUGAGAUAUGGAGGAGAGA